GACGAACGCUGGCGGCGUGCUUAACACAUGCAAGUCGAACGGUAAGGCCCUUCGGGGUACACGAGUGGCGAACGGGUGAGUAACACGUGGGUGAUCUGCCCUGCACUUCGGGAUAAGCCUGGGAAACUGGGUCUAAUACCGGAUAGGACCAAUGCCGGCAUGGGUGGUGGUGGAAGGCUUUUGCGGUGUGGGAUGGGCCCGCGGCCUAUCAGCUUGUUGGUGGGGUGAUGGCCUACCAAGGCGACGACGGGUAGCCGGCCUGAGAGGGUGACCGGCCACACUGGGACUGAGAUACGGCCCAGACUCCUACGGGAGGCAGCAGUGGGGAAUAUUGCACAAUGGGCGCAAGCCUGAUGCAGCGACGCCGCGUGAGGGAUGACGGCCUUCGGGUUGUAAACCUCUUUCAGCACCGACGAAGCGCAAGUGACGGUAGGUGCAGAAGAAGGACCGGCCAACUACGUGCCAGCCGCCGCGGUAA
Molecule: ribosomal RNA, 478 nt
Filed under: uncultured bacterium
Lineage: Bacteria
Description: partial 16S ribosomal RNA
Rfam family: Bacterial small subunit ribosomal RNA
Source: RNAcentral